AAACAUGCAGAGAAAGGGCGCGAGUAGUACUUAUGGCUUUGUUACAGAGAGCUGAUGGUUGGUGUAAAUCAGUACAAACAUAAGUAUGAAUUACACCCCUGGAGCAUCUUUUUCGUAGUAAAGCGAAAAGUCUUUAUGAAGGGAAAGACGGUCAUAGCGAUCGUUAAUCAUGAGAAGAGGUAGGCAACUUUAGUCUACAAUUAGGGUGGUACCGCGAUAAUCAUCGUCCCUACU
RNAcentral lists this non-coding RNA (234 nucleotides) under Bacillus manliponensis. RNAcentral's name for it is "T-box sequence". It matches the Rfam family "T-box leader". From Rfam's summary of the family: Uncharged tRNA acts as the effector for transcription antitermination of genes in the T-box leader family. T-boxes are found upstream of many aminoacyl-tRNA synthetase genes and some amino acid biosynthetic genes usually in Gram-positive bacteria. The record is from RNAcentral. Lineage: Bacteria; Bacillati; Bacillota; Bacilli; Caryophanales; Bacillaceae.